RNAcentral lists this ribosomal RNA (1236 nucleotides) under uncultured eukaryote. RNAcentral describes it as "SSU rRNA". It matches the Rfam family "Eukaryotic small subunit ribosomal RNA", at positions 63 to 1314 of the family's 1831-position model. The record is from RNAcentral.
GUAUAAAUGUUAUACAGUGAAACUGCGAAUGGCUCAUUGAAACAGUUAUAGUUUAUUUGAUAAUCAAAUUUACAUGGAUAACCGUGGUAAUUCUAGAGCUAAUACAUGCUGUUAAGCCUGACUUUUAGGAAGGGCUGUAUUUAUUAGAUAACAAAUCAAUAUUCCUCGUGUCUAUUGUGAUGACUCAUAAUAACUGAUCGAAUCGCAUGGACUUUGUCCGCGAUACAUCAUUCAAGUUUCUGCCCCAUCAGCUUUCGAUGGUAGUGUAUUGGACUACCACGGCUUUAACGGGUAACGGAGGAUUAGGGUUCGAUUCCGGAGAGGGAGCCUGAGAAACGGCUACCACAUCUAAGGAAGGCAGCAGGCGCGUAAAUUACCCAAUCCUGACUCAGGGAGGUAGUGACAAGAAAUAACGGACCGAAGCCUAUGUUUCGGGAUUGCAAUGAGUAGAAUUUAAACCCCUUUACGAGGAUCAAUUGGAGGGCAAGUCUGGUGCCAGCAGCCGCGGUAAUUCCAGCUCCAAUAGCGUAUAUUAAAGUUGUUGCAGUUAAAAAGCUCGUAGUUGGAUUUCUGGGAGGGUGCCGAUGUCCGCUCGAUUGCGUGUGCAGAGGCGCCCUUCCAUCCUUCUGUUAACGUUUCUUGGUAUUCAGUUACUGGUUUCGGGCUCAGAUAUUUUACCUUGAGAAAAUUAGAGUGUUCAAAGCAGGCCUCAGAGCUUGUAUAGUCUUGCAUGGAAUAAUGGAAUAGGACUUCGGUUCUAUUUUGUUGGUUUUCGGACCCGGAGUAAUGAUUAAAGGAGACUGCCGGGGGCAUUUGUAUGGUGGCGUUAGAGGUGAAAUUCUUGGAUCGCCGCCAGACAAUCUACUGCGAAAGCAUUUGCCAAGAAUGUCUUCAUUAAUCAAGAACGAAAGUCAGAGGUUCGAAGACGAUCAGAUACCGUCCUAGUUCUGACCAUAAACGUUGCCGACCAACAAUCGGGGGUGGUUUGACUUUAUUGACCCUCCCGGCUGUCCCUGGGAAACCUUAAGUAAGGUUCUGGGGGGAAUAUGGUCGCAAGGCCGAAACUUAAAGGAAUUGACGGAAGGGCACCACCAGGAGUGGAGCCUGCGGCUUAAUUUGACUCAACACGGGAAAACUCACCAGGUUCGGACAUGGGAAGGAUUGACAGAUUGAGAGCUCUUUCAUGAUUCUGUGGGUGGUGGUGCAUGGCCGUUCUUAGUUGGUGGAGUGAUUUGU